Molecule: ribosomal RNA, 207 nt
Filed under: uncultured bacterium
Lineage: Bacteria
Description: partial 16S ribosomal RNA
Rfam family: Bacterial small subunit ribosomal RNA
Source: RNAcentral
UGCGUAGGCGGUUGGGUAAGUCAGAGGUGAAAUUCCGGGGCUCAACCUCGGAACUGCCUUUGAUACUGCCUGACUAGAGUACUGGAGAGGAGACUGGAAUUUACGGUGUAGCAGUGAAAUGCGUAGAUAUCGUAAGGAAGGCCAGUGGCGAAGGCGAGUCUCUGGACAGUAACUGACGCUGAGGCACGAAGGCUAGGGGAGCAAACG